GGACAUGACGUGUGGCUGUCGUAAAAACCCUAUUUGUAAACAACCAGUCCUUUAACUCAGCGCUACGUCAUAAACACGGCGCGCUUGGAAGACCACGAUGUCAUCUUCCUUCUGUCAGGAGGAUCCAAGUGAAGCUACAGGAGUUUCAUUAACGUCAAUAACUUGGACCGAACAGUUUGUUUUGCUUGAUGAAGAGCAGGAAGGGCAGCCUGGAGAGAAAGAGAAGCCGGGUUGAGCCCACUACCAUCAUCCAUGUACCACAAGGAAGAUGAGGGAGAGAAAUGAUCCUACCAUUAAAGAGACUGUGAAAAGAACGUUGAGAACAUCACCACUCUACAGGAAGACACAGUCCAGUAAUGGGUGUCAGAAUUUCAGUAGUGAACGACAGGAAGGACUGAUGCAUUUACUGAGACGGGACGUGAGGGCCUACUCUGCGUGCUCAGAGUUCAAGCCCAGCAGGCUGCAGCGGUCCUGACAUAUUCCGGAACAGCAGCACAGUCUUUGGAUGACUCCUCUGAAGAUGAAAACAUGGCGAGUUCUUCUCAAGAGAAGCAGUACAGGUGUGCCUCAGCUCCACGGUCCCUCCUGCAACCUCCGCUCCUGAUGCUAACCUCAUGUCUCCAUCACACCAAGCAGCAGACCUGGAGUGACAGAACUUUCUCCAGAGCUGCCCCCUCCCUCUGAAACCCCCCUCUCCAAAACACUAUUUGUGGCGUUUUUAAAGUCUUAUUUGCAUGAGAAUUGUUGAUCAUAACAUUUCCAGCAGAUGCCUUAAUGUAAUGUUUGUGCACAAUAAAUGACAUUGAUCAUAA
Molecule: long non-coding RNA, 812 nt
Organism: Pleuronectes platessa (European plaice)
Lineage: Eukaryota; Metazoa; Chordata; Actinopteri; Pleuronectiformes; Pleuronectidae
Exons: 5
Source: RefSeq, a predicted model, not a curated record